This 70-nucleotide transfer RNA is filed under the name Dipodomys ordii (Ord's kangaroo rat). It matches the Rfam family "tRNA". From Rfam's summary of the family: Transfer RNA (tRNA) molecules are approximately 80 nucleotides in length. Their secondary structure includes four short double-helical elements and three loops (D, anti-codon, and T loops). The record is from Rfam by way of RNAcentral. Lineage: Eukaryota; Metazoa; Chordata; Mammalia; Rodentia; Heteromyidae.
GGAAAUGUGGCUUAGUGGUAGAGUGCUUGCCUAGCAUGCAUGAAGCCCUGGGUUUGAUUCCUCAUUACCA